ACCCUCCCCCCAUUGCCGCCCUCCCCCCAACAGUCUAGUUCACUGGGGGUUCAGUCUUAGCAGGACAACAGAAGAAUCUUAAAUGGCCAACAAACACUUAAAAGAAUGUUCAAAGAAAGUCCUUACUCAUCAGAGAAAUACAAUCAAAAUGACCUUGAGAUUCCACCUUAUACCAAUCACAAUGACUAAGAUCAAAAACUUAAGUGACAGCACAUGCUGGCAAAGAUGUAGAAAAAGAGGAACACUCUUCCAUUGCUGGUAUGGUUGCACUCUGGAAAUCAAUCUGGCAGUUCCUCAGGAAUUUAGAAAUAGUUCUAUCCGAAGACCCAGCUAUACCACUCUUGGGCAUAUACCCCCAAAACAUCCUACUAUACCACAAGGACACAUGUUCCACCAUGUUCAUAGCUGCCUAAUUUGUAAUAGCCAGAAACUGGAAACAACCCAGAUGUCCCUCAACUGAAGAAUGGAUACAGAAAAUGUGGUUCAUUUACACAAUGGAAUACUAUUCAGCUAUUAAAAAUGAA
This 524-nucleotide long non-coding RNA is filed under the name Rattus norvegicus (Norway rat). Its description in RNAcentral is "long non-coding RNA NONRATT010629". Lineage: Eukaryota; Metazoa; Chordata; Mammalia; Rodentia; Muridae. The record is from RNAcentral.